This 262-nucleotide ribosomal RNA is filed under the name uncultured bacterium. Its description in RNAcentral is "partial 16S ribosomal RNA". It matches the Rfam family "Bacterial small subunit ribosomal RNA", at positions 335 to 615 of the family's 1533-position model. The record is from RNAcentral.
GGCCUACGGGGCGCAGCAGUGGGGAAUAUUGCACAAUGGGGGAAACCCUGAUGCAGCGACGCCGCGUGAAGGAAGAAGGAUUUCGGUAUGUAAACUUCUAUCAGCAGGGAAGAAAAUGACGGUACCUGACUAAGAAGCCCCGGCUAACUACGUGCCAGCAGCGGCGGUAAUACGUAGGGGGCAAGCGUUAUCCGGAUUUACUGGGUGGAAAGGGAGCGUCGGCGGUGCAGCAAGUCAGAAGUGAAAGCCCGGGGCUCAACUC